AUUCAAGGAAAAAUUGGUGGAUUUCAAGUAAUCAAGCAAUCAAAGUGGUUAGUCCUCCGACAAGGGCAAGGAAAUUGUACCCGAGGAUCGAUAGUUGGAGUACUAUAGAAAUUCGGCUCCUGAAAUAGCUGGGUAGUAUUAAAUUAACCCUGUCAUGCUGUCAAAAUUU
This is a non-coding RNA of Theobroma cacao (cacao), 169 nucleotides long. Lineage: Eukaryota; Viridiplantae; Streptophyta; Magnoliopsida; Malvales; Malvaceae. The record is from RefSeq and is a predicted model, not a curated record.